RNAcentral lists this ribosomal RNA (393 nucleotides) under uncultured bacterium. RNAcentral's name for it is "partial 16S ribosomal RNA". It matches the Rfam family "Bacterial small subunit ribosomal RNA", at positions 523 to 918 of the family's 1533-position model. The record is from RNAcentral.
AUACGGAGGAUGCGAGCGUUAUCCGGAUUUAUUGGGUUUAAAGGGAGCGUAGGUGGGAUAUUAAGUCAGCUGUGAAAGUUUGGGGCUCAACCUUAAAAUUGCAGUUGAUACUGGUUUCCUUGAGUACGGUACAGGUGGGCGGAAUUCGUGGUGUAGCGGUGAAAUGCUUAGAUAUCACGAAGAACUCCAAUCGCGAAGGCAGCUCACCGGGCCGGAACUGACACUGAUGCUCGAAAGUGCGGGUAUCAAACAGGAUUAGAUACCCUGGUAGUCCGCACAGUAAACGAUGAAUACUCGCUGUUUGCGAUACACUGUAAGCGGCCAAGCGAAAGCGUUAAGUAUUCCACCUGGGGAGUACGCCGGCAACGGUGAAACUCAAAGGAAUUGACGGGG